AUACGGAGGGGGCUAGCGUUGUUCGGAAUUACUGGGCGUAAAGCGCGUGUAGGCGGAUUGAUCAGUCAGGGGUGAAAUCCCGAGGCUUAACCUCGGAACUGCCUUUGAUACUGUCAAUCUUGAGUUCGAGAGAGGUGAGUGGAAUUCCUAGUGUAGAGGUGAAAUUCGUAGAUAUUAGGAAGAACACCAGUGGCGAAGGCGGCUCACUGGCUCGAUACUGACGCUGAGGUGCGAAAGCGUGGGGAGCAAACAGGAUUAGAUACCCUAGUAGUCC
RNAcentral lists this ribosomal RNA (274 nucleotides) under uncultured bacterium. RNAcentral's name for it is "partial 16S ribosomal RNA". It matches the Rfam family "Bacterial small subunit ribosomal RNA", at positions 523 to 796 of the family's 1533-position model. The record is from RNAcentral.